This 492-nucleotide ribosomal RNA is filed under the name uncultured bacterium. Its description in RNAcentral is "partial 16S ribosomal RNA". It matches the Rfam family "Bacterial small subunit ribosomal RNA", at positions 29 to 507 of the family's 1533-position model. The record is from RNAcentral.
AGUGAACGCUGGCGGUAGGCCUAACACAUGCAAGUCGAACGGCAGCACAGUAAGAGCUUGCUCUUACGGGUGGCGAGUGGCGGACGGGUGAGGAAUACAUCGCAAUCUACUUUUUCGUGGGGGAUAACGUAGGGAACCUUACGCUAAUACCGCAUACGACCUACGGGUGAAAGCAGGGAAUCUUCGGACCUUGCGCGAUUGAAUGAGCCGAUGUCGGAUUAGCUAGUUGGCGGGGUAAAGGCCCACCAAGGCGACGAUCCGUAGCUGGUCUGAGAGGAUGAUCAGCCACACUGGAACUGAGACACGGUCCAGACUCCUACGGGAGGCAGCAGUGGGGAAUAGUGGACAAUGGGCGCAAGCCUGAUCCAGCCAUACCGCGUGGGUGAAGAAGGCCUUCGGGUUGUAAAGCCCUUUUGUUGGGAAAGAAAAGCGGCAGGUUAAUACCCCGCUGUUCUGACGGUACCAAAAGAAUAAGCACCGGCUAACUUCGUG